UCCGCCGUUUUCAAUACAUAAAAUAGACCCCCCCUGAAGAUCAUCUUCUUCGAGACCCCCUCCCCCCAUCGAUUCAUCUUCUUCAACCGUUUUCAACAUAGGAACACCCCAAAACAGACCUCAUCCCAACGACCUCCCUCUCUAAAACAAAACCAGCAACAACCAACGUUCACCAGUUCCGCCAUGAACGACCACCCCCAAGAGAAAAACUAGAUGCUCUCACUUCUGCUUCCUCACUCAAGUUGUUGCUUCGCUGGAAUUGAUCACCGGCGAGUGGCGACACCACUAGCAAUGGAUGUGGCUAGAAACCCCAAAACACAGCCGCGAUUCUGUCAGUUAUACAAAAAACGAAAAAUUAUUCUGUUUUUCUUCUUCCAUUUUUCCGACUUUCAUCUCAAAAAUCAGAGGUGUUGUCCACUGAUUUUCGUACCAUAAUGAAGGUCAUUUGAUGUAGUUUAUGGAUUCAAAAUAUCUUGUACCGGUUCGAGGUUCUGUCAAGGUCCGUGUUCGAGGGUCCUAUCCGAUUUGAGUUCCGAUCGUGGUUGUGGUUUGUUUCCACCCGUGUAACUGCUGGAAUUUUUAUUAAUUGAAGGCAACUUGAGGUUUUCAUAUUACUUGAACUGUAUUAAACUGUCUCCCUACGCCUCCCUUCUGAGUCUUCAAAACAAAAAAAAAGUGCACACAUUCGCAUGGCCCACUUUUUCUGUUAGAAGUUAUACCAAAUAGAACGAGGCUGGGCCAGUGAUUAAAGCCAACUCUACACUACUACAAAGUAUCAAGAGUGGUCGAAGCAGCUUUUACCCGAGAGGUCGGGAAAGAUUUCCACAGGGAGAUAGAGAUGGGAAUUGAGUUUAUAUCUAAAUUAAAGAUGCGUAAUUGCUCCUAA
Nicotiana tabacum (common tobacco) is the source of this 886-nucleotide non-coding RNA. Lineage: Eukaryota; Viridiplantae; Streptophyta; Magnoliopsida; Solanales; Solanaceae. The record is from RefSeq and is a predicted model, not a curated record.